This 556-nucleotide ribosomal RNA is filed under the name Citrobacter freundii. Its description in RNAcentral is "bacterial SSU rRNA". It matches the Rfam family "Bacterial small subunit ribosomal RNA", at positions 70 to 619 of the family's 1533-position model. The record is from RNAcentral. Lineage: Bacteria; Pseudomonadati; Pseudomonadota; Gammaproteobacteria; Enterobacterales; Enterobacteriaceae.
CCCCGGGUCCGGAAUACCCCCCCCGCCGCCCCACAUUUUUUUUCUUCCUUCCUAAAUAGUAAUGUCUGGGAAACUGCCCGAUGGAGGGGGAUAACUACUGGAAACGGUAGCUAAUACCGCAUAAUGUCGCAGACCAAAGAGGGGGACCUUCGGGCCUCUUGCCAUCGGAUGUGCCCAGAUGGGAUUAGCUAGUAGGUGGGGUAACGGCUCACCUAGGCGACGAUCCCUAGCUGGUCUGAGAGGAUGACCAGCCCACUGGAACUGAACACGGUCCAGACUCCUACGGGAGGCAGCAGUGGGGAAUAUUGCACAAUGGGCGCAAGCCUGAUGCAGCCAUGCCGCGUGUAUGAAGAGGCCUUCGGGUUGUAAAGUACUUUCAGCGAGGAGGAAGGCGUUGUGGUUAAUAACCACACCGGUUGACGUACUCGCGAAGAAGCACCGGCUAACUCCGUGCCACAGCCGCGGUAAUACGGAGGGGCAACGUUAAUCGGAAUACUGGGCUAAAGCGCACCAGGCGGUCUGUCAGUCGGAUGUAAAUCCCCGGGUCAACCUGGGA